CUGACCUCNAAUCANGUGGGACUACCCGCUGAACUUAAGCAUAUCAAUAAGCGGAGGAAAAGAAACUAACAAGGUUUCCCCUAGUAACGGCGAGUGAAGUGGGAUGAGCUCAAAUUU
RNAcentral lists this ribosomal RNA (117 nucleotides) under Hydnum albidum. Its description in RNAcentral is "partial 28S ribosomal RNA". It matches the Rfam family "Eukaryotic large subunit ribosomal RNA", at positions 1 to 116 of the family's 3401-position model. The record is from RNAcentral. Lineage: Eukaryota; Fungi; Basidiomycota; Agaricomycetes; Cantharellales; Hydnaceae.